This is a non-coding RNA of Elaeis guineensis (African oil palm), 1728 nucleotides long. Lineage: Eukaryota; Viridiplantae; Streptophyta; Magnoliopsida; Arecales; Arecaceae. The record is from RefSeq and is a predicted model, not a curated record.
GCGAAACCAUCACUCGGACGCGAAAACCGAACCGCCCCAUCACCACCACGCCAACGUGUCGCGUCCCGAGAGGGGAGAUUCGGGUGCCGAAUGGAGUCUGGAAUCCUCGGUGGGCCUCCCCUCUCCCCGUUCAUCUUCCUCGGUCCUCAAGACCGCCAGCCCACUCUAACGGCUUAAGCUUGGGGUUCCGGCGUCCAACGGCGGCGGCGAUGAGAAGGGGGAAGGUCCAGAUUCGGCGAAUCGAGGACAAGGCCAGCCGCCAGGUGACCUUUUCCAAGCGGCGGGGCGGCCUCUUCAAGAAAGCCCGCGAGCUCGCCGUCCUCUGCGACGCGGAGGUCGGCCUGAUCGUCUUCUCCCCCAGCGGCAAGCCCUACGAAUUCUGCAGCUCCUCCAGCAUGGAAGACACAAUCACUCGUUAUGAGCAAAUAUCAGAUGCUGGACAAGAUGUCAGUAAAAAUAUUGACAAAGAACAGAAUCAUGGCAAGGAUUUUGCUUGUCCUACAAUCAACUCCAAGCUAAUGAAGCAAUCUCCAUGGUCUCUUGAAACAGAUAUUGCCGAGUUAGAUGUGAAUGAGCUUGAACAACUAGAGAAGGAACUAAGUGAUGCAUCAAAACAGAUACAAUCAAGAAAGACAAAGUUGAUGAUGGAUACAAUCAAUAAGUUCCAAGAUGAGAAAAGGUUGAUGAUGGAUACAAUCAAUAAGCUCCAAGAUGAGGAGGCUUAAAAACCCACAAUGAAUGUGAAAAAGCAUUAAGGAUGUAGAUUGUUCAUCCAUUUUUGUACUUUUUGAUUUGCUGGCAUCUGUAUAAUUCUAGCCUUUGUAUGAAUUCAAUCACCUACUGACAUGCUUUAAGUCCCAUUCUAUCCCAUACACUGAUGCAAGGAGGUCCCUCUCAACCUUCCCCUUCCCCCCAACCUCAAGAACAUAUCUUUUUGGUGUUUUUGAUUAGCACUUAUUAGUAUCUUUGUUUAGUGCUUCAAACGAUACAGCAAUCAGUAUACUACUACACAGGCAUGUGUGGAUGCUCAGACACCAGAUCCAUUUCAUAUCUUGCACAGUUGGGAAUGACAUAGAAGAGGAACAGGGUAGGGAGAGAGAAGUGAAUGAAACUGGAGGAGGUGCCAAUCCUUCAGAGUCAAGAUUUUCAAUAUUCAAAAUCUUUAAAUCGAUAAUUUCCAGUAUCCUGAAAAUCUCGAGAUUAUGGGAACAGAGUUUUCUGACCCCGCCCGCUCCAUCCUCCCUCAUCCUGUCACCUCAAGGCCCUCCCUGCCAUGUGGGAGGAUAUUGCAUGGACAAGAAAGUAGGCGUCUAUGCAGCCUUGGAGUAUAUAUCCCGGACUGAAUUUUUAUGGGGACAUCCAGAGGAAGACAAUGCUUGAGGAGAAAAGGUUCUUAGAAUCCGUAAGAAAAAAAUGUUGUGGUGAUGGAGCAGAAUGGAGCUGCAGUGGAGCACCACAAGGAUGUUAGCAACAAUAGCGAGGGCGCUUUGUCCCAUGGGGUACACGAAGAUCCAGAGGUGCAACUUGCCAAGUGCCAUGCACCACGUUGCUUAUCAUUAUUUUCCUAGAAAGACUAAGCAGGCAGUUGGAAGGGUUGUAACCAAAGUCGUGCGGGACAGAAGUCUUUAGAAAUUUGUGUGUGGGACUCGGACCGUAUAAUCUCAUGUAUUUGCUGUCAUUUUACAGAUGCAUGACAACACCAAUAAAGAUAUGGUGUGCUGAGCUGUA